Molecule: non-coding RNA, 908 nt
Organism: Microcebus murinus (gray mouse lemur)
Lineage: Eukaryota; Metazoa; Chordata; Mammalia; Primates; Cheirogaleidae
Source: RefSeq, a predicted model, not a curated record
UUGGGUUUAAUUUAAAAUUAAAGUAUUAAAAAGAUAAAUGAUAGAAAAUAAAGGCUAUUUUCCUUCUCGGAGAAAACACUGAAUGGCAAAUGAUGCAGGUACGCCAGCAGGGCCCAGAGGCUCCGGCCAAGGCCUUGGAGCUCACAAAGGCAAAGCCAAGGACAAAAAGUGGAUUCUGGUCACUAAGCUGGAAUGCCUGGACAAGGACAUGAAGCUCAAAUCCCUGGAGGAGAUCUAUCUCUUUUCCCUGUCUGUCAUGGAGUCUUGAGAUCAAUGGCUUUUUCUAGGGGGCACCUCUCAAGGAUGAGGCUUUGAAGAUUAUGCUGGUGCAAAAGCAGACCCACACUGGACAGUGGACCAGAUUAAAGAUGUUUAUUGCCAUCAGAGACUACACUGGCCACAUUGGUCUGGAUGUUAAGUGCCCAAAAGAGGUACUCUACUGCCAUCCCAAGGGACUGGUUAAGCUCUCCAUUGUCUCUGUGUGGACAGGUUACUAUAGGAACAAGAUUGGCAAGCCUCACACUGCCCCUUACAAGGUGACAGGUUGUUGUGGCUCUGUGCUGAUGCACCUUAUCCCUGCCCCCAGAGGCACUGGCAACAUCUUGGCCCCUGUGCCCAAGAAGCUGCUGCUGCUGCUGCUGCUGGCUGGUACUCCUACACCUCAGCAAGGGCUGUUCCACCACCCUGGGCAAAUUUGCUGAGGCCACCCUCUGAUGCCAUCUCCAAGAAGUAUAGCUAUCUGACCCCUGACAUCUGGAAAGAAACCAUAUUCACCAAGUCUCCCUACCAGGAAUUCACUGAUCAUCUCCUCAAGACCCACACCAGAGUCUCCAUGCCCAAGACCAAGGCUCUAGCUGUGGCUACAACAUAGGGUUUUUAUACAAGAAAAAUAAAGUGAAUUAAGCCUG